UGUUAUGGCGGCUGUACGUGGGGACCUUCGGGUCGUCCGGGUUUCUCUGUUCCCCGGGUUUCCAGCCUGCGUACAGCUGCCACCCCU
Molecule: non-coding RNA, 87 nt
Filed under: Pseudomonas putida
Lineage: Bacteria; Pseudomonadati; Pseudomonadota; Gammaproteobacteria; Pseudomonadales; Pseudomonadaceae
Also listed under: 3 other names
Source: RNAcentral